GGUGGGAUAGUUUAAUUGGUAGAACAAUGGAUUCAUGCUCCAUGAGUAGGGGUUCAAGUCCCUUUUCCAUCG
RNAcentral lists this transfer RNA (72 nucleotides) under Hyphochytrium catenoides. RNAcentral's name for it is "trnM(cat)". It matches the Rfam family "tRNA". From Rfam's summary of the family: Transfer RNA (tRNA) molecules are approximately 80 nucleotides in length. Their secondary structure includes four short double-helical elements and three loops (D, anti-codon, and T loops). Further hydrogen bonds mediate the characteristic L-shaped molecular structure. tRNAs have two regions of fundamental functional importance: the anti-codon, which is responsible for specific mRNA codon recognition, and the 3' end, to which the tRNAs corresponding amino acid is attached (by aminoacyl-tRNA synthetases). tRNAs cope with the degeneracy of the genetic code in two manners: having more than one tRNA (with a specific anti-codon) for a particular amino acid; and 'wobble' base-pairing, i.e. permitting non-standard base-pairing at the 3rd anti-codon position. The record is from RNAcentral. Lineage: Eukaryota; Hyphochytriomycetes; Hyphochytriales; Hyphochytriaceae.